RNAcentral lists this ribosomal RNA (47 nucleotides) under Candida albicans. Its description in RNAcentral is "partial 28S ribosomal RNA". The record is from RNAcentral. Lineage: Eukaryota; Fungi; Ascomycota; Pichiomycetes; Serinales; Debaryomycetaceae. RNAcentral also lists the same sequence under 6 other names.
UUGACCUCAAAUCAGGUAGGACUACCCGCUGAACUUAAGCAUAUCAU